GGUGAACGCUGGCGGUAGGCCUAACACAUGCAAGUCGAACGGCAGCACAGUAAGAGCUUGCUCUUACGGGUGGCGAGUGGCGGACGGGUGAGGAAUACAUCGGAAUCUACUUUUUCGUGGGGGAUAACGUAGGGAAACUUACGCUAAUACCGCAUACGACCUACGGGUGAAAGCAGGGGAUCUUCGGACCUUGCGCGAUUGAAUGGGCCGAUGUCGGAUUAGCUAGUUGGCGGGGUAAAGGCCCACCAAGGCGACGAUCCGUAGCUGGUCUGAGAGGAUGAUCAGCCACACUGGAACUGAGACACGGUCCAGACUCCUACGGGAGGCAGCAGUGGGGAAUAUUGGACAAUGGGCGCAAGCCUGAUCCAGCCAUACCGCGUGGGUGAAGAAGGCCUUCGGGUUGUAAAGCCCUUUUGUUGGGAAAGAAAAGCAGCAGGUUAAUACCCCGCUGUUCUGACGGUACCCAAAGAAUAAGCACCGGCUAACUUCGUG
RNAcentral lists this ribosomal RNA (492 nucleotides) under uncultured bacterium. RNAcentral's name for it is "partial 16S ribosomal RNA". It matches the Rfam family "Bacterial small subunit ribosomal RNA", at positions 28 to 507 of the family's 1533-position model. The record is from RNAcentral.